CACACUGCGCCAUGUCUGUUGGUGUUCGCACCGGCAGGCGUAGCCCAGCCAACCCUUGUCUAUCUCUACCAUUUGUGAAUCCCUCGGCAGGGACGCCUGCCGCCGGGACCCCUAAACCCUUUUGUAUUUAAGCAUUAAAACAAUCUGAAUCUAAACAAAAUUAUUA
Molecule: unclassified non-coding RNA, 166 nt
Filed under: uncultured Ascomycota
Lineage: Eukaryota; Fungi; Ascomycota
Description: sequence contains ITS1
Source: RNAcentral